RNAcentral lists this long non-coding RNA (514 nucleotides) under Ananas comosus (pineapple). RNAcentral's name for it is "long non-coding RNA (ACOM_LNC015975)". The record is from RNAcentral. Lineage: Eukaryota; Viridiplantae; Streptophyta; Magnoliopsida; Poales; Bromeliaceae.
GAUGUUAUAUUAUGUAGCGUGGUGUAUAGUAAGUUAGUAAUUGUUAUGAAUUAAUUCGGUAAAGAUAAGAAUAAUAUCAGUAGUAAGGGCGGCAUAUAUAUNUUUAUGAUUUUACGACAUCAUUUGCCUAGUGAACGAAGGGGCUCAAAAUCAACGGCUAAAAAUAAAAAUCUUACAAAAUGUAAUAAUAUGACAUUAAAAUUUUAAAUCAAAGAUAUUGAUCUUGUUUUAGAUAGUAUAAAGAAUUUUCUAUCAAAAUUUCACGUGAUUUGGAUAUUUCUACACCGUUAAACUUGCAAAUGGCUCACUACAGCCAUUGAAAUUUGUUGAUUUUGAGCCCAUUUGAUCACUAGGCAAAUGAUAUCGUAAAAUCAUAAAAUUUAUUUUCUAGAUGCUUCAAAUACUCUAGAUCAAGUUUAACGGAGCUGAUCGACGAUUCGAAAGUCGCAACAUCAAAAAUGAGCUGGAAGCACGGAAGGCUCUGUGCUUCCGAUAUAUAUAUAUAUAUAUAUAA